Molecule: ribosomal RNA, 432 nt
Filed under: uncultured bacterium
Lineage: Bacteria
Description: partial 16S ribosomal RNA
Rfam family: Bacterial small subunit ribosomal RNA
Source: RNAcentral
AGCGAACGCUGGCGGCAGGCUUAACACAUGCAAGUCGAGCGGGCACUUCGGUGUCAGCGGCAGACGGGUGAGUAACACGUGGGAACGUACCCUUCGGUUCGGAAUAACGCUGGGAAACUAGCGCUAAUACCGGAUACGCCCUUUGGGGAAAGGUUUACUGCCGAAGGAUCGGCCCGCAUCUGAUUAGCUAGUUGGUGGGGUAAUGGCCUACCAAGGCGACGAUCAGUAGCUGGUCUGAGAGGAUGAUCAGCCACACUGGGACUGAGACACGGCCCAGACUCCUACGGGAGGCAGCAGUGGGGAAUAUUGGACAAUGGGCGCAAGCCUGAUCCAGCCAUGCCGCGUGAGUGAUGAAGGCCUUAGGGUUGUAAAGCUCUUUUGUCCGGGACGAUAAUGACGGUACCGGAAGAAUAAGCCCCGGCUAACUUCGUG